Molecule: non-coding RNA, 73 nt
Organism: Phrynosoma platyrhinos (Desert horned lizard)
Lineage: Eukaryota; Metazoa; Chordata; Lepidosauria; Squamata; Phrynosomatidae
Source: the annotation of a GenBank genome assembly
GCCAGCGUGGCGCAGUGGUUAGAGCACUGGACUUAUGACCCUGGAGAGCAGGGUUCAAAUUCCUGCUCGGCCA